GAUGAACGCUGGCGGCGUGCCUAAUACAUGCAAGUAGAACGCUGAAGGAGGAGCUUGCUCUUCUGGAUGAGUUGCGAACGGGUGAGUAACGCGUAGGUAACCUGCCUGGUAGCGGGGGAUAACUAUUGGAAACGAUAGCUAAUACCGCAUGACAACAGUUAUUGCAUGAUAACUGUUUAAAAGGGGCAACUGCUCCACUACCAGAUGGACCUGCGUUGUAUUAGCUAGUUGGUGAGGUAACGGCUCACCAAGGCGACGAUACAUAGCCGACCUGAGAGGGUGAUCGGCCAACCUGGGACUGAGACACGGCCCAAACUCCUACGGGAGGCAGCAGUGGGGAAUUUUCGGCAAUGGACGGAAGUCUGACCGGGCAACGCCGGGGGAGGGAAAAAGGUUUUCGGAUCGUAAAGCUCUGUUGUAAGAGAAGAACGGGGGGGGGGGGGGAAAGUUCCAACUGGGGGGGGAUUUUACCAAAAAGGGACGGUCAACUCCGG
RNAcentral lists this ribosomal RNA (494 nucleotides) under uncultured bacterium. RNAcentral describes it as "partial 16S ribosomal RNA". It matches the Rfam family "Bacterial small subunit ribosomal RNA", at positions 28 to 506 of the family's 1533-position model. The record is from RNAcentral.